This is a long non-coding RNA of Saccostrea cuccullata (small rock oyster), 525 nucleotides long. RefSeq lists it as uncharacterized. The transcript has 3 exons. The record is from RefSeq and is a predicted model, not a curated record. Lineage: Eukaryota; Metazoa; Mollusca; Bivalvia; Ostreida; Ostreidae.
GUUUAAAAGUCAUGUCAAAGCAGCCUUGGUUUAUUUUGAAUUUUUGACCUUCUAAAGCAUAUCCUGUUGUCAAAACAUGAAAUUCGUGAUACCUGUGACGUCAUGGGGAAGGUUUGCGCCUUUAUUCAAAUGAACAGAACUAAAAUUGGCUAAAAGUGAUUGUUAUAAAUUCCACUUCUGACGUUAGAAGCCGAGCCGGUACCAGUGGAGGUAGGCUACACGCAGACUACGAUGGAUCCAGUCAGAAGUCGGGGAAUAGUAGAGGGCAAAGACAGGUCAAGAUAGCAUUGUACUCCAGACAGGGGAGGAAGCAAGUGCAAAUCAUAAACAGCAUAAAAAUAUAGACGGACACAACAGCAAGGCCAUACAGAGGGAACGCCGGUUAGGAAUAUAUGAUUAGAUGGUGCAAAAGGAACGUAUUGGUUGUAAAUUGUAUAUGAUGUUCAAUUAAAUGGUGCUAAAGGGACGUAUAGGUUACAAUUACAUGCAUAAUCAGAUGAUGUACCAUCUGCAGGUUAACAUAAG